AGCCCUGUGGUUCAGUGGAUGAGCCUCUGCCUGACAUACAGGAGACAUGGGUUCAAAUCCCACUAUUGCUU
Molecule: non-coding RNA, 71 nt
Organism: Danio rerio (zebrafish)
Lineage: Eukaryota; Metazoa; Chordata; Actinopteri; Cypriniformes; Danionidae
Source: Rfam